AGAGUUUGAUCCUGGCUCAGGACGAACGCUGGCGGCGUGCUUAACACAUGCAAGUCGAGCGGUAAGGCCCUUUCGGGGUACACGAGCGGCGAACGGGUGAGUAACACGUGGGUGAUCUGCCCUGCACUUCGGGAUAAGCCUGGGAAACUGGGUCUAAUACCGGAUAUGACCAAAGGCUGCAUGGCUUUUGGUGGAAAGGUUUACUGGUGCAGGAUGGGCCCGCGGCCUAUCAGCUUGUUGGUGGGGUAAUGGCCUACCAAGGCGACGACGGGUAGCCGACCUGAGAGGGUGACCGGCCACACUGGGACUGAGACACGGCCCAGACUCCUACGGGAGGCAGCAGUGGGGAAUAUUGCACAAUGGGCGAAAGCCUGAUGCAGCGACGCCGCGUGAGGGAUGAAGGCCUUCAGGUUGUAAACCUCUUUCAGCAGGGACGAAGCGCAAGUGACGGUACCUGCAGAAGAAGCACCGGCUAACUACGUGCCAGCAGCCGCGGUAAUACGUAGGGUGCGAGCGUUGUCCGGAAUUACUGGGCGUAAAGAGUUCGUAGGCGGUUUGUCGCGUCGUCUGUGAAAACCCAUCGCUCAACGAUGGGCCGGCAGGCGAUACGGGCAGACUUGAGUACUGCAGGGGAGACUGGAAUUCCUGGUGUAGCGGUGAAAUGCGCAGAUAUCAGGAGGAACACCGGUGGCGAAGGCGGGUCUCUGGGCAGUAACUGACGCUGAGGAACGAAAGCGUGGGUAGCAAACAGGAUUAGAUACCCUGGUAGUCCACGCCGUAAACGGUGGGCGCUAGGUGUGGGUUCCUUCCACGGGAUCUGUGCCGUAGCUAACGCAUUAAGCGCCCCGCCUGGGGAGUACGGCCGCAAGGCUAAAACUCAAAUGAAUUGACGG
RNAcentral lists this ribosomal RNA (893 nucleotides) under uncultured bacterium. RNAcentral describes it as "bacterial SSU rRNA". It matches the Rfam family "Bacterial small subunit ribosomal RNA", at positions 8 to 916 of the family's 1533-position model. The record is from RNAcentral.